Molecule: long non-coding RNA, 2016 nt
Organism: Bombyx mori (domestic silkworm)
Lineage: Eukaryota; Metazoa; Arthropoda; Insecta; Lepidoptera; Bombycidae
Exons: 2
Source: RefSeq, a predicted model, not a curated record
UGCGGGUUAAUCAAACGCCCUACCACCAACGAUUUCUUAAAGAAUAUUUGCUAAUUUGAUUUUAAAUAAAAGAUGAAUGAAUCCUUAAUCAUGGAAGUCUUCCAUGUAUAUAUGUCAAAUACGUGUUUCAUUGGAUUUAUUGAUAUCUGCCUGCGGGAAUCUAACACUGGUGCAGUCGCAUCUUUAUUAGAAAGUCGGCCGUCUCUACUGCACUGCUUAGGCCACGACGAUUUCAAAUUAAAUAGUAAAUUCUAGAAUAAAUGAGUUAGUUUUAUGGUUUUAUCAAUAAUAACGUGUACAACAGAUCCAUCUCACGCCGACAUGAGGCCAACAACGCUAGAACAACCAGUCGAUGAUAUUCUAGGCCUCGCCUAGAAUAUGCUGCUAUUCUUUAUCAAGUAAUAGAUAGUGGAUUUGUUUGACUUGGCAAGAGUAGGCUUUGAUUUGAAUACCAGAAAUAUAGUGCACUCUUUCACAGCUUGAAGGGAAAUAAAAGCUGUGCAGACUAUUCAAAAUAAUGUUCACCCAAGGUCAUGGGCAAUAUGACGUGAAUAGGAAACUGCAUGUCAGACAUUAACUUAAUGUUCUAUAUUAUUUUUAAACAAAUGAAUCUAAUAUUUUAAGACAAUAAAUAAAUAUUUAUUUUUAUAAUUAGCCCAGUUUUUCGUCGACGAAGCCAUCUUAAGAGAAGCUUCAUUGCAAAUAUCAGGCCGAUAUUUAACUAUAGGGGACAACAAACAAGAGUAGACACAUCGUGAGCUGUAGUUGUAGAAAGAGGAGAAAAUGGAAACUAAGGCGAACCACUGGCUCAUGCAGCUUUCAUUUGAGCAGAGGCUGCUCGUACGCAGGCAGAGGCUGCGCAUCUUCCAGCUGAGAUAUAUGUAUCUCAGUUUAAAAAAUUCAAGGAAUUGACCAAUAUCGGCAAAAACCUUGUUUAAAAUAAUAAGAUCAAUUUUGUUUUAAUUUUAGCUGAGUCCGUAAUAGUUUAUAUUACCAUAAAAAUGAAAUAGCGCUUGUUACAAUAGUCAAGCAAAUCCAAAUAUAUGUUUUACUUUAUGCUGGUACUACAGUAAAUUUUAUGACACUAAUGAGUAUAUUUUACGCUAAUAAAACUACUCUCAACUUAGCAUUUCAAAAUGACUAUUUAUUUUUUUAUUGCUAAGAUGGGUGGACGAGCUUACAGCCCACCUGGUGUUAAGUGGUUACUGGAGCCCAUAGCCAUCUACAACGUAAAUGCGCCACCCACCUUGAGAUAUAAGUUCUAAGGUCUCAGUAUAGUUACAACGGCUGCUCUACCCUUCAAAACGAAACGCAUUACUGCUUCACGGUGCGGACUCACAAGUGGUCCUACCACCAGUAGAAUUCCAGUAUUUAGCUUCAUCGUAUAUUUUGUAUUCACAGUAUUUGGCAUGUUCUGCUUCUAGUUUAUAGGGUUAUAGAGCUAUCACCUUGCUAUCAUCCUACUUACCUCAGCCCCAAGUUCAGUUAUGUUUCUUUGAAGUUAUCGGCAGUCGAUAUUAUAUUUCAAUUGUGGCUUCAAUUUCAUGCGGCAAGAAGUUGGACAUGUAUUACAAACAAACUACGAUUUCCUAAUUUAAGAAUUAUUAUUCAAAUAAAACAAAAUUACACAAAAAAAAUAAUUAUCAAACUUAUCUAACGGCCGUCUGGUGUAGUGGUAAGUGACAUGGUCGCUACACAAGGGGGUCGCGGGUUCGAAUCCCGCCAAGGGAAGAUAUUUGUAUGAUAAAUAUAAAUGUAUUUUCCAGGGUUAUGGAUAUAUAUUAAAUAUGUGUAUAAUAAAAAUCUUACAUCUAUUUCCGUUAUCUGGUACCUGUAACACAAGUUCUUUACGAACUUACCACGGGACCAGUUAACGUGGCGUGAUUGUUAGUAAAUAUUUAUAUUUAUAUUAUUAUUAUUAUCACAAUGAACAAAAAUCAGUGGUGGUUGAUCCACAUUUUGUCUAAAUUAUGAAUUAUGUUUUUCAUUUUGUAAGUAAUAUUCAUGUAAGUAUCC